RNAcentral lists this ribosomal RNA (251 nucleotides) under uncultured bacterium. RNAcentral's name for it is "partial 16S ribosomal RNA". It matches the Rfam family "Bacterial small subunit ribosomal RNA", at positions 527 to 776 of the family's 1533-position model. The record is from RNAcentral.
GUAGGGUGCGAGCGUUGUCCGGAAUUAUUGGGCGUAAAGAGCUCGUAGGCGGUGUGUCACGUCGGCCGUGAAAACCUGCAGCUUAACUGUGGGCGUGCGGUCGAUACGGGCAUCACUGGAGUUCGGCAGGGGAGACUGGAAUUCCUGGUGUAGCGGUGAAAUGCGUAGAUAUCGGAAGGAACAUCAGUGGCGAAAGCGGCUUCCUGGUCCAGCACCGACGUUCAGGCACGAAAGCGUGGGGAGCAAACAGG